AGAGUUUGAUCCUGGCUCAGGACGAACGCUGGCAGCGUGUCUUACACAUCCAAGUCGGGCGGAGUCUGUUUUUGUGUAGCAAUACACUUUACAGAUCGAGCGGCAAACGGGUGAGUAAUAGAUAGGUAAUCUACCGCGAUGAUCGGGAUACCCCCUUGAAGGAGGGAUCAAUACCGGAUAAUAUCGGAUUAAUAAUUUUAGUCCGAAGAAAGGUGACGCAAGUUACCACAUUGUGAUGAGCCUAUCUCCUAUCAGCCAGUUGGUGAGGUAAUGGCUCACCAAGGCUAUGACGGGUAGCUGGUCUGAGAGGAUGGUCAGCCACACUGGAACUGAGAAACUGUCCAGACUCCUACGGGAGGCAGCAGUGGGGAAUCUUAGGCAAUGGGCGAAAGCCUGGCCUAGCGACGCUGCGUGGACGAUGAAGGUCUUUGGAUUGUAAAGUCCUUUUCCUGAAGAUGAAGGAUGUGAAGUAAAAUAUGCUUUGCAUUUUGACAGUAUUCAGGGAAUAAGCCCCAGCCAACUACGUGCCAGCAGCUGCGGUAAUACGUAGGGGGCAAGCGUUGUCCGGAAUCACUGGGUGUAAAGGGUGUCAGGCUUCUUAUUAAGUUGAUUGUGAAAUCCCGAAGCUCAACUUCGGAACCGCAGUCAAUACUGGAAAGACAGAGGGUAUGUGAGGUAAGCGGAAUUCCCGGUGUAGCGGUGAAAUGCGUAGAUAUCGGGAGGAACACCAGCGGCGAAGGCGGCUUACUAGCAUAUUCCUGACGCUCAUACACGAAAGCUAGGGGAGCAAACAGGACUAGAUACCCUGGUAGUCCUAGCUGUAAACGAUGAAUACUAGGUGUUGGGGGAGUAAUUCCCUCGGUGCCGAAGCUAACGCGUUAAGUAUUCCACCUGGAAAGUACGGUCGCAAGUCUGAAACUCAAAGGAAUUGACGGGGGCCCGCACAAGCAGCGAGGCAUGUGGUUUAAUUCGAGGCUACACGUAGAACCUUACCUGGGCUUGACAUGUAUCUGAAAGAGUUAAGAAACUAGCUCCCUCUAUGUAGCAAUACAUAGACAUUUACACAGGUGGUGCAUGGUUGUCGUCAGCUCGUGCCGUGAGGUGUAAGGUUAAGUCCUUGAACGAGCGCAACCCUUGCCGUUAUUUGCGAUAAGUCUUUGACUUAGCACUAUAACGGAACCGCUAUCGACAAGAUAGAGGAAGGCGAGGAUGACGUCAAAUCAUCACGCCCCUUAUGUCCAGGGCCACACACAUGCGACAAUGGCUGGUACAACGGGAUGCAAUAGGGUAACCUGGAGCAAAUCCCAAAAACCAGCCCCAGUACGGAUCGAGGACUGAAACCCGUCCUCGUGAAGAUGGAGUUGCUAGUAAACGCAGGUCAGCUAUACUGCGUUGAAUACGUUCCCGGGCCUUGUACACACCGCCCGUCACACCACCCGAGCUGGAUGUACCCGAAGACACAUACUCUAACUCGCAAGAGAGGAGUGUGCCCAAGGUGUGUUCAGUAAGGAGGGUGAAGUCGGAACAAGGCA
This 1532-nucleotide ribosomal RNA is filed under the name metagenome. RNAcentral's name for it is "bacterial SSU rRNA". It matches the Rfam family "Bacterial small subunit ribosomal RNA". The record is from RNAcentral.